Molecule: ribosomal RNA, 274 nt
Filed under: uncultured bacterium
Lineage: Bacteria
Description: partial 16S ribosomal RNA
Rfam family: Bacterial small subunit ribosomal RNA
Source: RNAcentral
AUACGAAGGGGGCUAGCGUUGUUCGGAAUUACUGGGCGUAAAGCGCGCGUAGGCGGACUGAUCAGUUGGGGGUGAAAUCCCAGGGCUUAACCCUGGAACUGCCUCCAAUACUGUCAGUCUUGAGUUCGGGAGAGGUGAGUGGAAUUCCUAGUGUAGAGGUGAAAUUCGUAGAUAUUAGGAAGAACACCAGUGGCGAAGGCGGCUCACUGGCCCGAUCCUGACGCUGAGGCGCGAAAGCGUGGGGAGCAAACAGGAUUAGAUACCCCAGUAGUCC